This 1458-nucleotide ribosomal RNA is filed under the name Lacticaseibacillus rhamnosus. RNAcentral's name for it is "bacterial SSU rRNA". It matches the Rfam family "Bacterial small subunit ribosomal RNA". Lineage: Bacteria; Bacillati; Bacillota; Bacilli; Lactobacillales; Lactobacillaceae. The record is from RNAcentral.
CCGUAAAGUUGGACCUCGUAUCAAGUGCUCAGUAUGAGGUGGGCGCUUGCAUCUUGGUUUAAUUGCCGAGGAUUGGCGGACGGGGGAGGAACACGUGGGUAACCUGCCCUUAAGUGGGGGAUAACAUUUGGAAACAGAUGCUAAUACCGCAUAAAUCCAAGAACCGCAUGGUUCUUGGCUGAAAGAUGGCGUAAGCUAUCGCUUUUGGAUGGACCCGCGGCGUAUUAGCUAGUUGGUGAGGUAACGGCUCACCAAGGCAAUGAUACGUAGCCGAACUGAGAGGUUGAUCGGCCACAUUGGGACUGAGACACGGCCCAAACUCCUACGGGAGGCAGCAGUAGGGAAUCUUCCACAAUGGACGCAAGUCUGAUGGAGCAACGCCGCGUGAGUGAAGAAGGCUUUCGGGUCGUAAAACUCUGUUGUUGGAGAAGAAUGGUCGGCAGAGUAACUGUUGUCGGCGUGACGGUAUCCAACCAGAAAGCCACGGCUAACUACGUGCCAGCAGCCGCGGUAAUACGUAGGUGGCAAGCGUUAUCCGGAUUUAUUGGGCGUAAAGCGAGCGCAGGCGGUUUUUUAAGGUCUGAUGGGAAAGCCCUCGGCUUAACCGAGGAAGUGCAUCGGAAACUGGGAAACUUGAGUGCAGAAGAGGACAGUGGAACUCCAUGUGUAGCGGUGAAAUGCGUAGAUAUAUGGAAGAACACCAGUGGCGAAGGCGGCUGUCUGGUCUGUAACUGACGCUGAGGCUCGAAAGCAUGGGUAGCGAACAGGAUUAGAUACCCUGGUAGUCCAUGCCGUAAACGAUGAAUGCUAGGUGUUGGAGGGUUUCCGCCCUUCAGUGCCGCAGCUAACGCAUUAAGCAUUCCGCCUGGGGAGUACGACCGCAAGGUUGAAACUCAAAGGAAUUGACGGGGGCCCGCACAAGCGGUGGAGCAUGUGGUUUAAUUCGAAGCAACGCGAAGAACCUUACCAGGUCUUGACAUCUUUUGAUCACCUGAGAGAUCAGGUUUCCCCUUCGGGGGCAAAAUGACAGCGUGGUGCAUGGUUGUCGUCAGCUCGUGUCGUGAGAUGUUGGGUUAAGUCCCGCAACGAGCGCAACCCUUAUGACUAGUUGCCAGCAUUUAGUUGGGCACUCUAGUAAGACUGCCGGUGACAAACCGGAGGAAGGUGGGGAUGACGUCAAAUCAUCAUGCCCCUUAUGACCUGGGCUACACACGUGCUACAAUGGAUGGUACAACGAGUUGCGAGACCGCGAGGUCAAGCUAAUCUCUUAAAGCCAUUCUCAGUUCGGACUGUAGGCUGCAACUCGCCUACACGAAGUCGGAAUCGCUAGUAAUCGCGGAUCAGCACGCCGCGGUGAAUACGUUCCCGGGCCUUGUACACACCGCCCGUCACACCAUGAGAGAGGUAACCCCUGAAGCCGGUCGCGGAUCCGGAAGUGGUACCAAGGUACCAGUUGAG